RNAcentral lists this ribosomal RNA (1017 nucleotides) under human gut metagenome. RNAcentral's name for it is "bacterial LSU rRNA". It matches the Rfam family "Bacterial large subunit ribosomal RNA", at positions 1405 to 2432 of the family's 2925-position model. The record is from RNAcentral.
AAAGGCGUAGGUGAUGGACAACAGGUUGAUAUUCCUGUACCGCCAAUAAGCGUUUGAGAGAUGGAGUGACACAGUAGGAUAAGCUAACCGUACUGUUGGUUAUGUACGGCUAAGCAUUGAGGCAGUCUAAAUAGGCAAAUCCGUUUAGACAAUGCUAGGAUGUGAUGGGGAAGCCCUUCGGGGCGAAGUAGCUGAUUUCACACUGUCAAGAAAAGCUUCUAUCGAGUUUAAAGGCGCCCGUACCGUAAACCGACACAGGUGGGUGAGGAGAGUAUCCUAAGGCCAGCGAGAGAACUAUUGUUAAGGAACUCGGCAAAAUGACCCCGUAACUUAGGGAGAAGGGGUGCCUUCGAAAGAAGGCCGCAGAGAAUAGGCCCAAGCGACUGUUUACCAAAAACACAGGUUUCUGCUAAGUCGCAAGACGAUGUAUAGGAGCUGACGCCUGCCCGGUGCUGGAAGGUUAAGGGGAUCUGUUAGAGCAAUCGAAGCAGUGAACUUAAGCCCCAGUAAACGGCGGCCGUAACUAUAACGGUCCUAAGGUAGCGAAAUUCCUUGUCGGGUAAGUUCCGACCCGCACGAAAGGCGUAACGAUUUGGGCACUGUCUCAACAAUAGACUCGGUGAAAUUGUAAUCCCGGUGAAGAUGCCGGGUACCUGCGACAGGACGGAAAGACCCCAUGGAGCUUUACUGUAGCUUGACGUUGGGUCUUGGUACUACAUGUACAGGAUAGGUGGGAGACUAUGAAGCAUGGACGCCAGUCUGUGUGGAGUCAUCCUUGGGAUACCACCCUUGUAGUACUGGGAUCCUAACCAUAGGCCUUGAAUCAGGUCUUGGAACACCGUCAGGUGGGCAGUUUGACUGGGGCGGUCGCCUCCUAAAAAGUAACGGAGGCGCUCAAAGGUUUCCUCAGCACGGUCGGAAAUCGUGCGAAGAGUGUAAAGGCAAAAGGAAGCUUGAUUGCAAGACAUACAGGUCGAGCAAGGACGAAAGUCGGACUUAGUGAUCCGGUGGUACCGC